RNAcentral lists this non-coding RNA (27 nucleotides) under Mus musculus (house mouse). The record is from RNAcentral. Lineage: Eukaryota; Metazoa; Chordata; Mammalia; Rodentia; Muridae.
UGUGUCUACUUAUGUGGCCUAUGUUGU